This 478-nucleotide ribosomal RNA is filed under the name uncultured bacterium. RNAcentral's name for it is "partial 16S ribosomal RNA". It matches the Rfam family "Bacterial small subunit ribosomal RNA", at positions 28 to 523 of the family's 1533-position model. The record is from RNAcentral.
GACGAACGCUGGCGGCGUGCUUAACACAUGCAAGUCGAACGAUAAGGCCCUUCGGGGUACACGAGUGGCGAACGGGUGAGUAACACGUGGGUGAUCUGCCCUGCACUUCGGGAUAAGCCUGGGAAACUGGGUCUAAUACCGGAUAGGACCACUGCCUGCAUGGGUGGUGGUGGAAAGCUUUUGCGGUGUGGGAUGGGCCCGCGGCCUAUCAGCUUGUUGGUGGGGUGAUGGCCUACCAAGGCGACGACGGGUAGCCGGCCUGAGAGGGUGACCGGCCACACUGGGACUGAGAUACGGCCCAGACUCCUACGGGAGGCAGCAGUGGGGAAUACUGCACAAUGGGCGCAAGCCUGAUGCAGCGACGCCGCGUGAGGGAUGACGGCCUUCGGGUUGUAAACCUCUUUCAGCACCGACGAAGCGCAAGUGACGGUAGGUGCAGAAGAAGGACCGGCCAACUACGUGCCAGCCGCCGCCGUAA